AUUGAACGCUGGCGGCAGGCCUAACACAUGCAAGUCGAGCGGAUGAAGGGAGCUUGCUCCUGGAGUCAGCGGCGGACGGGUGAGUAAUGCCUAGGAAUCUGCCUGGUAGUGGGGGAUAACGUCCGGAAACGGGCGCUAAUACCGCAUACGUCCUGAGGUAGAAAGUGGGGGAUCUUCGGACCUCACGCUAUCAGAUGAGCCUAGGUCGGAUUAGCUAGUUGGUGGGGUAAAGGCCUACCAAGUCGACGAUCCGUAACUGGUCUGAGAGGAUGAUCAGUCACACUGGAACUGAGACACGGUCCAGACUCCUACGGGAGGAAGCAGUGGGGAAUAUUGGACAAUGGGCGAAAGCCUGAUCCAGCCAUGCCGCGUGCGUGAAGAAGGUCUUCGGAUUGUAAAGCACUUUAAGUUGGGAGGAAGGGCAGUAAGUUAAUACCUUGCUGUUUUGACGUUACCAACAGAAUAAGCCCCGGCUAACUUCGUG
This 484-nucleotide ribosomal RNA is filed under the name uncultured bacterium. Its description in RNAcentral is "partial 16S ribosomal RNA". It matches the Rfam family "Bacterial small subunit ribosomal RNA", at positions 30 to 507 of the family's 1533-position model. The record is from RNAcentral.